GUGUUCACUUCGGCAGCACAUAUACUAAAACUGGAAUGAUAACAGAGAAGAUUGCAUGGCCCUACACAAGGAGGACACACAAAUUCAUGAAGGGGUCCCAUAUUAA
RNAcentral lists this small nuclear RNA (106 nucleotides) under Choloepus hoffmanni (Hoffmann's two-fingered sloth). The record is from RNAcentral. Lineage: Eukaryota; Metazoa; Chordata; Mammalia; Pilosa; Megalonychidae.